RNAcentral lists this long non-coding RNA (2515 nucleotides) under Eucalyptus grandis. RNAcentral's name for it is "long non-coding RNA (EGRA_LNC007046)". Lineage: Eukaryota; Viridiplantae; Streptophyta; Magnoliopsida; Myrtales; Myrtaceae. The record is from RNAcentral.
ACAUCCUUCACUCUUGGUCGAUUUUAUAAUGCGAUAUCCCAGGACAAUGUAUCGCUGACCCUUUCAUUUAUUAAGCACAUGCGGAAGUAGUUAAAAUCCCUAGACAAUAAAACAAUGGGAUAGAAAAGCAUGGCCAUAUUUUUCAUAUUGAAAUUUAUAACCAAACUUUUAUACAAAACACAAAUCACUUCAUAACUAUUCACAUCAAAAUGAAUUCUCAAAACAGCCCAUCCAGGCCAUACUCAAGGCCCCUCUCGGGAUUAUCUUCUUCUUCCAAAAUCCUUCUACUCAGGUUUCACCUCCGAGUUCUCCUUCUCAGAUUCCUCCUCAGCUCCUCAACGGGGUCCUGAAAUGUUUUUCCCCAAACUGGGAUGAGACUACGUCUCAGCGAGUUCUACCCCACUAAGCCCGAUUAGUAAACCAUUAUACUAUAGGCUGCCUAAACACGCACAGGUGAGGGGACUUACCUUGGCCUCAGAUCCCACCUGCAAGUCAGUAUAAUUCAUAAUAGGCACACAAGCAAUCACAUCACCGAUCGAAGCAUCGAUCAAAUCGACCUAGUCGAUUACCUGAUAACGAGACCGCCCAUGGUCAUUUCCAUUCAAUCAAUCAAUUCAUAACCUCAUAUCAAAGCAAUGAUCAAUCGACUUAGUCGAUUACAUGUCGCCACGACCCAUGCUUGGUCGGCACAUUCAAUGCUAUUUAUAAGUCCGACCAUAGUCCAGGACUGCUCACUCUAAACUGAUAUAUCGCCCGUAGGCUGAUAUAGUAUACUCUCGAUUCUCACACUCAAUUAAUCAUGCAUUCUUAGAUUUGAUCUCGGCAUAUAGCACGGCCUACUCUCAGUUCGGCGGUCUUCUGGCAUUGCCAGGCAUCGCCUCCCCCCAUGGAGCGCGGCUUCGUCAUUACGUCGACGGCAUUCCCGAAGGAGCAUCGUCUCCCCCCUUGGAGCACGGCUUCGUCACUACGUCGACGGCAUUCCCGAAGGAGCAUAGGGUCCAGAAUCAACUGCGACCGGCUUCUCGUUGUCUAGGGGGUAUCCCACAUAGGGAUAACGUCCAGCUCAAUAGCCCGGGACGAUUUCUCAAUGAAAUAAUUAACCACAACCAUUUAGGAAUAUAUCCUAAAUUCCACAUUCAAUUCAAUUUGGCACAAUUCAAAGCUCAAAUAAAUAAACAGACUGCGCCACGACAAUCAGCACAAGAUUUUGGUCGUCGGCCAUCUCCAACUUAAUUUCCGAAAAAUAAAUAAAUAAUUAAUUAAUUUCGAAAAUUAAUUAAUAAAUAUUAAAAAUUCAAUUUAGCACAAACUAAAACUCAAUUAAAUAAACGGACUUGACCACGGUCAUCAGCAUAAUUUUCCGGUUCCAGGCCAUCUCAGUUGAAUUUUCGGAAAAUAAAUAAAUAAUUAAUUAAUUUCGAAUAUUAAAUAAUUAAUAUUAAAAAUCCCAUUUAGCUCAAAUUAAAGCCCGAUUAAAUAAACGGACUUCACCACAAUCAUCUGCAUAAUUUUCCGGUCACGGGCCAUCCUAGUUAAAUUUUCAGGAAAUAAAUAAAUAAUUAAUUAAUUCCGAAAAUUAAAUAAUUAAUAUUAAAAAUUCAAUUUAGCUCAAAAUAAAGCCCGAUUAAAUAAACGGACUUCACCACAGUCAUCAGCAUAAUAUUGCGGUUCCGGACCAUCUCCCUUGAAUUUUCGGAAAAUAAAUAAUUAUUUAAUUUAAUUCCGAAAAUUAAUAUUUAAAUGUCAAAAAUCCCACUUAGGCCCGAAUCGCCAAAUUGAAGCCCAAUUAGGGGUCGGAAAAUUCCCGAGAUGCUUCCAACAAAUAGUAGACCACGUCUACUUGUUAAUUGCACAAUCAAUUUAUCUAAAUCGCAUCACAAUUGACUAAUAAUUGCUAAUUUAUUCUAAUCUAACAACCUAAACAUAAUUAAUUAAAACUAAACCAACCUUAAAGCAUAAUUAGUCAACUAAUCUAGGAUUAGUGAGAUUACUCACCAGAUCGCGCGCAAAUCGGAUCAAUCUGACGGCGGCGACGCGAGGAACGAUAAACUCCAAAGCACGGCUCGGGUUUGGGGCCCAGAAACGGCCCAAAACGGCCUUGAACAGUGCUGGAAACCCAUUUUUCCAGCUGCUGUUCAUGGCCAAACGAGGCUGCUCCGGUGGAUGAGAUGGCGGAGCAAGGCCGGCGGAGGGCAAGGGGAACGCCGGGGAGGUCGGGUGGAGCUGGGCGGUGGCCGGAGGUGGCCGGACGGGGGCUGGUCGGGGCGGAACCGAGCUGGGUCGCGGCUGGAUCGCACGGCUUGGGCGCGCACGGACGGGUGGCUGGACGGCGGCGAGGGGCGGGCGCACGGGCACGACGCGAGCGUGCAGGGCGGCGGCGGAACGGGCAGCGACGGGGAGCUGCGAUCGCGCGGCUCCUGCUCGAGCUUCCUCCUCUGGUUUGCUUCUUCGGAUGCGUGGGGAGGAAGAAGAAGAAAAAGAGAGAGAGAGAGAGAGAAGAGAGAGAGAUAACCUU